AUCAGAUUAUCCAGUCAUUCAUAAAUCGACUGACGUCGAUUAGAUUUAAAUACCUCCAACUCAAUCAAUGCCCUCCGAAUUAUCCUAAUCAGAUUCAAACAGGGGGGCUGGCGAUCCAAAUGAUCCUUGAUUUUUGAAUUAUUUUAUUUUAUCUCCUCAUUUAUAUUCAAAAAUUUAAAUUUUUAUAGGAUCUAAAUGAGGAAGGAG
RNAcentral lists this long non-coding RNA (207 nucleotides) under Elaeis guineensis (African oil palm). RNAcentral describes it as "long non-coding RNA (EGUI_LNC007822)". Lineage: Eukaryota; Viridiplantae; Streptophyta; Magnoliopsida; Arecales; Arecaceae. The record is from RNAcentral.